RNAcentral lists this ribosomal RNA (321 nucleotides) under Triticum aestivum (bread wheat). Its description in RNAcentral is "partial small subunit ribosomal RNA". The record is from RNAcentral. Lineage: Eukaryota; Viridiplantae; Streptophyta; Magnoliopsida; Poales; Poaceae.
AUGAGCAGCCUAGCUGAGCAAUUCGAUCGGAUCCGGGACGCUGUGCGCGAGUUGAUGGAGUUGGUCGGCACAGAUUCUGAAAUCAUCAAGUCUCCCGUGCAAGAGCCAAUGACUGAGGAGAUUGCGGUUGACCACGACAACGUCAUUGCCGGUCUUGCACCUGCGAAUACCCAAGCCAGAAGGGUGCCACAUUGGCUUCUGUGUUCACCCCAGCCGCAACACCUACGUCGCUCACGGCCACGGUCGUCGUCGUCCCCUUGCUUGCUGCACCUGCGGCAAGCGGCGGAACCCUCGACAGUAGCCACAACGGAAGUGGCCUAG